GAUGAACGCUGGCGGCGUGCCUAAUACAUGCAAGUCGAGCGAACGGACGAGAAGCUUGCUUCUCUGAUGUUAGCGGCGGACGGGUGAGUAACACGUGGAUAACCUACCUAUAAGACUGGGAUAACUUCGGGAAACCGGAGCUAAUACCGGAUAAUAUUUUGAACAGCAUGGAUCAAAAGUGAAAGACGGUCUUGCUGUCACUUAUAGAAGGAUCCGCGCUGCAUUAGCUAGUUGGUAAGGUAACGGCUUACCAAGGCAACGAUGCAUAGCCGACCUCAGAGGGUGACCCGCCAGCCUGGAACUGACCCCCCGUCCCGACGCCUACGCGUCGCCGCCGUAGGUAAUCUUCCUCACUGGUCCGACGCCUUACCCACCAACGCCGCGUGUGUUCUCAAGGUCUUCGUAUCGUAAAGCUCUGUUGUUAGGUAGCAACAUAUGUGUACGUAACUGUUCACAUCUUGACGCUACCUAAUCAGAAAGCCACGGCUAACUCCGUG
This 497-nucleotide ribosomal RNA is filed under the name uncultured bacterium. RNAcentral's name for it is "partial 16S ribosomal RNA". It matches the Rfam family "Bacterial small subunit ribosomal RNA", at positions 28 to 507 of the family's 1533-position model. The record is from RNAcentral.